UGGACUUGACAUCCUGGUGAAAGCCCUGUGAAAGCAGGGCCCUCCUUCGGGACACCAGGACAGGUGCUGCAUGGCUGUCGUCAGCUCGUGUCGUGAGAUGUUGGGUUAAGUCCCGCAACGAGCGCAACCCUUGUCCUACGUUGCCAGCACGUAAUGGUGGGGACUCGUGGGAGACUGCCGGGGUCAACUCGGAGGAAGGUGGGGAUGACGUUCCAGUAUCGGAA
This 224-nucleotide unclassified non-coding RNA is filed under the name uncultured bacterium. RNAcentral's name for it is "contains 16S-23S intergenic spacer region". It matches the Rfam family "Bacterial small subunit ribosomal RNA", at positions 976 to 1198 of the family's 1533-position model. The record is from RNAcentral.